RNAcentral lists this transfer RNA (69 nucleotides) under Bos taurus (domestic cattle). It matches the Rfam family "tRNA". Rfam says of the family: Transfer RNA (tRNA) molecules are approximately 80 nucleotides in length. Their secondary structure includes four short double-helical elements and three loops (D, anti-codon, and T loops). Lineage: Eukaryota; Metazoa; Chordata; Mammalia; Artiodactyla; Bovidae. The record is from Rfam by way of RNAcentral. RNAcentral also lists the same sequence under 1 other name.
CCUGAUAGCUCAGUUGGUAAAGAAUCUGCCUCUAAUGCAGGAGACCCCAGGUUGAUUCCUGGAUCAGGA